RNAcentral lists this transfer RNA (68 nucleotides) under Arctictis binturong (binturong). RNAcentral's name for it is "tRNA-Tyr". It matches the Rfam family "tRNA". Rfam says of the family: Transfer RNA (tRNA) molecules are approximately 80 nucleotides in length. Their secondary structure includes four short double-helical elements and three loops (D, anti-codon, and T loops). Further hydrogen bonds mediate the characteristic L-shaped molecular structure. tRNAs have two regions of fundamental functional importance: the anti-codon, which is responsible for specific mRNA codon recognition, and the 3' end, to which the tRNAs corresponding amino acid is attached (by aminoacyl-tRNA synthetases). tRNAs cope with the degeneracy of the genetic code in two manners: having more than one tRNA (with a specific anti-codon) for a particular amino acid; and 'wobble' base-pairing, i.e. permitting non-standard base-pairing at the 3rd anti-codon position. RNAcentral also lists the same sequence under 1 other name. The record is from RNAcentral. Lineage: Eukaryota; Metazoa; Chordata; Mammalia; Carnivora; Viverridae.
GGUAAAAUGGCUGAGUAAAGCAUUAGACUGUAAAUCUAAGCAUAGAGGUUCUAGUCCUCUUUUUGCCA